UACGGAGGGUGCGAGCGUUAAUCGGAAUUACUGGGCGUAAAGGGUGCGUAGGUGGUUGCAUAAGUUAACUGUGAAAUCCCCGGGCUCAACCUGGGCAGGUCAGUUAAGACUGUAUGACUAGAGUAUAGGAGAGGGUAGUGGAAUUUCCGGUGUAGCGGUGAAAUGCGUAGAGAUCGGAAGGAACACCAGUGGCGAAGGCGGGUCUCUGGACAGUUCCUGACGCUGAGGCACGAAGGCCAGGGGAGCAAACGGG
RNAcentral lists this ribosomal RNA (253 nucleotides) under uncultured bacterium. RNAcentral describes it as "partial 16S ribosomal RNA". It matches the Rfam family "Bacterial small subunit ribosomal RNA", at positions 524 to 776 of the family's 1533-position model. The record is from RNAcentral.